Molecule: RNA transcript, 18917 nt
Organism: Rattus norvegicus (Norway rat)
Lineage: Eukaryota; Metazoa; Chordata; Mammalia; Rodentia; Muridae
Source: RefSeq, a predicted model, not a curated record
GUGUAUCUGAAAAAAAAAAAAGUCAAGGCUACCCCUGAACCCAGACAAAGACAACUGGAAACACUUCAUUUUAGGGUGCCCUUAUGUGUGGCCAGAGGCUGAAAAGUUUAGAAUUACAUCUCCCAGACGUCUUUGCGGUUAUGGCUAUGCAAGUCACCGAUACAGAAGGGUGAGGUACACAAAAGUCGUUAGCCACCUUCUUGGCUUAUUUGAUCAAACUUUGUGCCGGUUGUCCUUGUGCUCCUGGCUCCUCUAGCCUCUGGUGCAAUCGUCUUCACACAGACCUCUCUUCUGUGCCCCCUCCCCUGCCCUUCUAUGGUUGCCUUUGAAUCUUGUAGAGAAGAGGAUGAAGACAGCACUAGACUGCCUAUCGAGUACCCACAAGGUGCUGGCUUGAUCCCCCAGCAUCCCACAGACUGGACUCAGAGGCAUGUGUCUGCUGUUCUAAAACUCUGGAGUCAGAUGUCAGGCUACUUAAUGAAUUUGAGGGCAGCCUGGGGCUAUGUGAGAUUCUGUCUCAAACAAACAACAAAAUAAUGACAGGAAAUUCAUGCCGAAGAGGAGUGAGGUAGAAGAGGAGUCCUGGGCUGGAAGUUAUUGAGGGAACACUGGGCUGAAAAAAAUCUGUUCUCACAGAUUCCCAGCUGGUAGCUAUCUUCAUGCCAAACUGGAGAAUUCCCCUUUUCUUCAGUUCCUUCCACGGUAACUUUCCGCUCCACGGUCUGGGAAGAUAUUUUUUUUUCAACCUCCCCCAACACCUCAGCCUUGAAAUCCAAGUUUAGCCAAGCACCGCCUCUCCAGCUCAUCAGUGUGCCAGCCCCAUGUCCCAAACUUCCUGUGUCCAUGUGUGUGGUUGAAUUGAGCCAUGGUGACAUUAGUCAUGUUUACUGUUGACUGAGAACAAGGAUACUUGGUAUCCAAGGCCUGACUGUGGCCUCUGACUGCACAGUCGCUCACUAACUCUAAGAGAGUAUGAAAAGGACUCAAAUAGACACUGUGUACAGAAGAAGUUGGAGGAUGAGGGACUCUUCUUCGGUGGGGUAAAACGGCUUGUCUCCUUUUGUUUUGUCAUUGGGUUUUGACAUUUAGCCUAAGGCAGCCUCAAACUCACUGUGCAGCCCAGGCUGACCCUGAACUCAUAAUCUUCCUACCUCAGUCUCCCAAGUGCUAAGUGUUAUUAUCAGACUCUGCCCUUUAAAACAACAAUGUCAAGCCUGGGGAGUUGGCUCAGGGGGUUAGAAUGCCUGAUAUGUAAGCAAGCCAAGGCUUCAAGUUCUAGCUACAAAAUCAUGUGAAAAACUAGGCAUGGCCACACAGGCAGCUACAGCCCAGGGCCCUGAGAGGCUGAGGCAGGCCUGGGCUACGUGAGGCAGGGGAUUACCAGAGACUGCUGGCUACCAGUCUAUCUGAAAUAGCACGUUCCAGGUUAAGUGACAGAUUCUUUUUCAAAGUAGGAGCAAGCCAGUGGCAGGGGAAGGCCUGAUAUCCUCCUCUGGCCUCUGUAUGUGGUCAUAUACUGGUGAGCACAGACACAAAUACCCUCACAUACCCACACGUGAAGUAGCUCAAAUGGUAGAGUACUCUUUGACUAGCAUGCACAAAGCCCCUGCACUGAAAAAAAAAUGGGAGUGGUGGCACGUGCCUGUAAUCGCAACAUGCUGCAGAUGGACAAAGGAGGACCCAAAAUGCAAGGUCAUCCUGGGCUAAGUACCUAAUUCGAGGCCAGCCUAGGCUACUUGAUACAAAACAAAAAGUUUUAUGAAGAUACAAUUCACAUUUCAUACAGACUGCACAUUUAAAAUGGACAGUUAUCUUAGCCACAGAAUUGUGGAACCAGGAACAGAAUUUGAUUCCAGACAUUUUUUUCUUUUCUUGUUCUUUCUUUUCUCUUCUCUUCUCUUUUCCUUACUCUUUCUUUGUCUCUCUCUGUCUCUAUCUCUGUCUCUGGAGACGGGGUUUCUCCGACAGCUCUGGCUGUCUUGAAACUCAGGUUGGCCUCAGACUUAAAGAUCCACCUGCCUCUGCCUCCCAAGUGCUGCUAUUAAGGCAUGAGCCACCACUGCCAGGCGACAUUUUACUUUCUUAAUAAAAUGGUUUAGAUUUAUUUGUUUUAUUUUAAUAAGCAUAUGAGUAUUUUUCCUCCAUGUACGUUUGUACACCACAUGUAUACCUGGUGCCCAGGGAAGUCAGAAGAGGGCAUUGGAUUCACCAGAAGUGGAGUUACAGAGGGCUGUGAACCAUGUGGGUUCUGGAAACUGAACCUGGGUUCUCUGUAAGAGCAACAGCUGCCCUUAACCAUCAGACCAUCUCACCAUGUCGUUUUCUAUAAACAGGACCACACAGUAUCCGAUUUCAUCAGAUUAUUUUUUAUAAAGGCAAAAUAUCUUAUUAAACCGAGAAAAUCAGAUGACGCUGAGGACACCAGGUAAAUUUGACUUAGAGCUAUUUGUCCUAAGAGGACUUGAGUGGGCAAGGCAUUUAUUUGCAUAUGAAGAUCCCUUGAACAUUCAGUGUGACAGCCAGGGUGUCAAGUGUCCUACAGGCAAACUGUAUCCUUUAAAGUGUGGUUUUUGAAGGAAACGAGUUCUGUAACUAGUUGCACGAUUCUCUCAAGGGGGUUGUAUAAAUUAGUUUUCUCACAGUUUACGAAAUGCCUGACAAAGCAAUGGAAGGAAGGAAGGGUUUAUUUUGGCUCAUGGUUUGUGGGACUAUGGUUUAUGCCUUACUUAGGGUUUCUAUUGCUAUGACAAGACACCAUGACCACAGCAACUCUUAGAAAGAAAGACAUUUAAUUGGAUCUGGCUUACAGUUUAGAGGUUUAGUCCAUGUUUGUCAUGGUGGAAAGAGUGGUGACAGGCAGGCAGACAUGGUGCUGGAGAGGUUCCUGAGGUUCUACAUCCGGACUGUCAGACAGCAGGAGAGCAAGUGAUACUGUGCUUGGCUUGAGCAAGUGAAACCCCAAAGCCCCAUUUUUCUCCAAGAAGACUGCACCUACCCUAACAAGGCCAUACCUCCUAACAGUGCCACUCACUAUGGGUCUGUGGAGGCCAUUUUCAUUCAAAUCACCACUGUCCACUAUGGUGAGAAAGGAAGAACAUGCAGCUGGUGCAUGAGAAGAGGACGUGCUGGAGUUCUGCAGAUCCCCCUUUCCCUCUUUUCAUUCAGUCCAGGGAACCCAUCCCACAGGAUGAUACCACACGCAUUUGUUAUGGUUUUCCCCCUCAGUUAAAACUCCCUGGAAACAUCCUCAAAGUUACAUUCAGAGCUGUAUCUCCUAGGCUAUUCCAAAUCUAGUCAAGUUGACAACCAACACCAAUCAUCACAGGGCUUACCUAGUAUGGAGAUGUGGUUUUUCAUGCCCAUGACUUUAUUAAGGGAAGGAUAUAUGGGGUUUAUUAACAGUGUUACUAGCUAUUUAUAUCCGGUGAACAAGCAACAGCGUUAUUAACACUAACUUCUUGGGGAUGACCAACAGCUUUCUAGUGGACUUAGGGACCAAAGCAUUGGGGGGAAGGCACACCUGAUACCAUAAACCUAGCCAAAAGUGUGGCCAGAGGGAUCUUGGAUCCUAAAGGAGAAUCUACUGCUGACAUCUUGGUAAGUUAAUAUAGAUAUCACUGCCUUCUAAAUUCUCAUCCUUUACCUGUAGGCCGCUCUUGUCCUCAUCAAAGAAGCUCCGAUUUGCAGUAGACGGAGCUGUAACAGAGAACUACGGCUGGUCAAAGUCAGGGAAUAUGUGAUCAUGAAAUAUCCAGACGGAAUGGAACAUAUGCAACAGUAUCUCCAACCAAGGCUCAGGGACAUCGAGGAAGAGGGACCGGAAACUCCAGGACCUGGCCUUGAUGGUUCCCACCAUCCCCACUGGGGUUCACAAGCACCUGCAACCCCAGGUGCAGGACAUCUGCCACCUUUUCUGACCUCUGAGGGCUCCUGCAUGCAUGUGGUACACAAAGUAAAUAAACAAGUACAAGAGUUUAAGAAUCCUUUGGCAAGUAUAUGCAGUCAACCAAGGACAUACAUUUGUAACAAGGCUCCCUGGAGACUUAAUAGCAUAGGGAUUACAGGAGGUUGGCUCCUUGGGAAGAACUGCUCAGCUACAUAAAUUUCAACCUGAAGGGAAAGAGUAAUUGAACUUUGCAGGAACCACAGCAGAAGUGAGAGAAGAGAGAGAAAGGCUUGUUCCAAAACAUGAGAGCCACUCUGUGGAACGCUCCAGUGAUAACAGCUCUGGGACAGAAGAACAUGCUGCUCUCCUCUCUGCCCUAAACAUGCAUUCAGUUACUUCACAGCAAGCCCCUCCCCAAAAGACCAGUGUCUUCUCAGCCCUACACUCAGCCAAAGAGAAAGGAUGAAAUUAACUGAUCUAGUAGACAGCAGUUAAGUCCUGGUAAAAGGGGAAAACUAGACUAGAGUGAUAAGCAUAACCACACGCCCGCUCAGGGACACACGUGUCAUUUCUCAAUCACUAAUUAUUGGGGAAAUGCAAAAUACCACCUCACCCCAAUAAAAAUAACUCAUCAAAAGGACAAAAUGAUAGCAAGUAUUGGAGAGGAUAUGAAGAGAAGGAGCCCUUGCACCCACCUUUGGUGGGGACGUAAACAAAUACAAUCCUGGAAAUACUGUGGCAGUCCCUGAGAAAACUAAACCUAGUGUACACAACUGAGAUUUUACCACUCAGGAGCUGGGGGCCGGAGCUUCAUGUGUUCGAGGCCAUCCUGGGCUAUAUAGUGAGUUCAAGCCAUCCUGGGCUACAAAGUGUGUCCCUAUCUCAAAAAAGCCAAAGGGGGCGGGAUGGGGAAAAAGGAAAAUAGAAGUAUAGUUUAACCCGGAAUUCCCAUUUCAGUGGGAGGAAGAAGAAAUAAAAUUGAAAGGAAAUAAAACCAGUCUGUUAAAUAAACGUGUACAUUCCAGGUUCAUUGAGCACUGUUGAUAAAAGCCCAAAAGACAGAGAACGACCUAAAUGUCCAUCAACCAAUGAAAAGCCAAGCACCCAAGAACAAGCAGCUUGUGAUCUCACUCCCACACGGAGUCUGGGAAAGUUGAUGGCUACUGCAUAAAGUGUGCUCAGCGGGGGAGGGGAUUGGCCCAUGGAGCACCGUUUCAUCACUGAGAACUAGUUACAGUUAGGACGAGGCCUCCUGAUGGCUCCUGCUGCUGGCAGAUAAUAAGUUUGCACUGUCUCAGGACACUAGAAGAGAAGACGUGGGUGGUUUUUACCAUGUGAUUGAGAAGAUGGAUGCUUUACCUGAUAGUUAGAGACAUGUUGAAACAUCGCGUGGUGUCUCUUAGUAUAUUCAGUUCUUAUACUUUCUGUUCCAGCUAAAAUAUAUUUAAUCAGUCAGAAAGUGAGCCUCAAUAUAUCUCAGGAUCUUUAUGAACAUGUAAAGUGACUUGCCUUUUCCAGCUCCACGAUAUUCCACCAUGGCUGCCUUCUACAGAUGGACAAUUGUGUUGUUUCCAGUCUCUCGCUACUGCGUAAAGUGUGCUCGUAGCUUUCAAGCACAAAAGAGAAAAUUGAAUUAAACCUCCCAGGAUCGGGUUGGGGAUUUAGCUCAGUGGUAGAGCACUUGCCUAGCAAGUGCAAGGCCCUGGGUUUGGUCCUCAGCUCUGGAAAAAAAAAAAAACAAAAAAACAAAAAACCACCCAGGAUCCUCCGCCCAUCCUUGUUUUAAAGCCGGCCCUUCCUACAGUUCACCAAUUGCUAGAGCAGUGCGGUCUUCUACUUUAUGGUUAUCCUACUUUGCAUAAGAAAUAUGGUGAGAAGAACUCAGCUGUUCUCUUCAGGGAAGACCCAUGGUGUGAGGGUGAGAAAUCGGCGACUUAUAGCUCUCUGUGUCCCUGCUGCCCAGCAAUCCUUUUCCUCUCCUUGCCUUGCUAAGACAACCAAUCAGGAUUAUACAAAUGCCUUGUUUGGUUCAACAUUUCUUCCACCAUUCAAUCCUAAGCGUGAGACCACAUUGGCUUGAGUGCCUCGUCCCCACGGUGGUGUAGGAAGCUUCCUGCUCCACUGACUUCGACAAAUCUUAUAGGAAGAAGUGUGCACUCUGUUCCAGACGCCAUGCUGUGAGCUACAAGCAGUGACUAUGGCACACGGAACUGUCUGUUCUCCUGGCUUUCUGAUAGUGGUGCUGAGACACUGACCUGCUCAGCCAUUUCAGUCAACACACGAACAUCUCUUAGUUACUCCUUUUUUUUUUUUUUUAAGUGAAAGCUUCAUUAUAUAGCCAUCUUCACUCUGCGUCUCUUCAGUUCUUGGAAAGUAAUGAAAAAAAAGUCCAUAAAGUUUAGUACUUUCAGAUAGGGCUUCACUCCCAAAGGCAAACUUGCAACCCCCCUCCCAGCUAUAUAGAAUGUAGAGCCAAAGGAGGUAAUCACCUGAUUCUAAGGGUUAGCAACGACUGGCUAGGUUUAUGUCAACUACAAGCUAGCAUCAUCAGAGAGGAGGGAGCCUCAGUUGAGAAAAUGCCUCCUGAAGAUCUGCCUGUAGGUAACCCUGUAUGCUAUUUUCUUAAUUAAUGAUUGGUGGGGAGGGUUCAAUUCAUUGUGAAUGGUGCCACCCCUGUGGUCCUGGGUUCUAUAAGACAGCAGGCUGAGCAAGUCAUGGUGAGCAAGCAAGUAAGCAGCACCCUUCCAUGGCCUCUGCAUCAGUCCCUGCCUCCGGUUUCCUGCCUUGUUUGUUUUCCUUCCUGACUUACUUCAGUGAACAGCAAUGUGGAAGUGUAAUACAUCCUUUUCUCCCCAAAGGUGGUCAUGGUAUUUCCUCACAGCAGUGGUAACCUUAACCAGGACAGAAAUCAACCUUUCCUUUACACACCUCUCUAAAUCAAUUAUGUCUUAUUCUUUUACAUUUAUUCUGCUUUGAACUCCCAAGCUCUUUUUGUUACCAUAGUCACUAUUCAAUAAAUAUUUACUGGGUUCCAGGCACCAUGCCAAAUCUGUAUAAAAAAAACAUGUAAUUUUCCCUAAUAGAGGGUAAGUACUAUUAUAUAUGUUGUGAGGAGGAGGACAUCUAGACUUAAAGAAGUUUAGUAACAUGCCUGGGUUGAACAUCUAACAAGGGCAGAUACAGUCAGAGAAGUCACAAUGGUGCAGUAGGAAAGUCUCUGGCACGAUUAAUAAACUACAGCUGGAACAAUAACUGAUAAACUUGGUGUUUAUUUUUGUGCUUUAUGCAUGUUGUUAGGAUCUGUAAAGAUUCUCCCUCACCCCUGGCAGAUCUUCCGUGUGGAAGAACUUCUGCCGCAGGAUUUCUGACUGAUUCCAGGAAGAGAGGUGGAAGUGUUGCUGGUGGCUGAAGAGAAUCUGGGCUGGAAGAGGAGCAAUUUCUCUCUCUCUCUCUCUCUCUCUCUCUCAUAUGUCUUCUUUUAUUAGAUUUUUUUUAUUUACAUUUUAAAUGUUAUUCCCUUUCCCGCCUCCCCCGCCCCAGAAACCUGCUAUCCCAUCCCUCCUCCCCCUGCUUCUAUGAGGGUGUUCCCUCACCCACCUACUCCAUCCCACCUCCCCACCCAGACAAUCCCCUACCCUGGGGCAUUGAGCUUUGACAGGACCAAGGGCCUCUUCUCCCAUUGAUGUCCGUCGAGGCCAUCCUCUGCUACAUAUGCAGCUGGAGCCAUAGGUCCAUCCCUGUAUUCUCUUGGGAUGGUAAUUUAGUCCCUGGGAGCUUUGGGGUGGGGGUGGGGGUCCGGUUGGUUGAUGUUGUUCUUCUUAUGGGAUUGCAAACCCUUCAGUUCCUUCAGUCCUUUCUCUAAUGAGGAGCGACUUCUUAAUGGUGAUUUGAGGUGAGAACUGGGAGCAUGCAUUUCAGACUCUCUUCAUCAGGUCAGCCAGACUCCUCUCCCCUGGCGUACAGAGUGAAUUCCUGGGGGUGGGGGAGGAGGAGUAGGAAGAGAGGAAGGGAGGAAGGGGGAGAGAAAGCUGAAGCGCACAAAGUCCCCCAGCCUGGGAAACAAAACAAACAACUAAGAAAUUAUAUGAGAGGUCUGUAGUCCCAAGUGUCCCUGUGUUCUGAAGGGAGGAGGUGGGGGCCAUCGAGGGGGCAGAGGAAGAUUUGGUAUACAUGAGUGAAAUCUGAGAAAGACGAAGUGCACAAGAACAAUUUAACAAGGAGGAAACAGACGGAGUGUUCCAUAGCAAAAUGAAAUCAGAAGAAGAGAAACCUGAGAAACAGGAGAAGCUUGUGCUGGUGAAGGUACAGGAGACUCACAGGUUGGUACUUAACCAGUGAUGGAGAUGCUGGCACAGGCCGGCUCAGGUCCAGCGCCUAGUGCGACCAGAUGAAAUCACUCUCUGACAAUACUGCUUGCGGUGAUACUGGAUAAAGGAUCCCGAGCUAGGCUGAGAGGUUUGGAACCCCAAUUUGUCAAAGUGAAGUUGCUGUCUGUCACCAGCAUUGGGAUUUAUCUGUCUUCUGCCUCGUUUCACAGCUACGGGGCAGUUCUUUGGAAGCGGGGAGGCUCCUCUUAAAACAGGAGCGCGAAGGUACGUGAGGUAGCAGAAGGUUGAGAUUCCUUGGGUAGAGCUGAAUUAAAAGGGGCCGAAUGGUGCUGCUAAGUAUCUUCUCAUCCCUAGAAGGACUUUCCUUAUCACUAACAAUACUUGGCAAUUACUGUGAGUUGUCGAAAAUAAGCUGAGAUACGGUGACUUUGAGUCACAGAAGGCUGAGUACCUGAGUGUGCCAGUCUCUGUAGCCUUCUCAUCCCGUUUGGAAUCCUGUAACAUGAGCUAGCUUAUUCCAGCAGUUAUGGUGCUGGGUGGUAGACAGUCUUGUCAGCCAGCUGUGCACACACCGGUAAAUACUGUUUCUUAGGCAAAGGUAAUAUUUUCUAUAGUUGUAAAAUCCCAUUAUACUCUGUUGGCAAAGAAACAUUAAGAACUUUGUAUAGCUUUUAAAAAAGCAACUUUUUUUUUAGAGAAUAACUUUUAAGUUUAAAAGAAAGGGGUGUGUGUGUGUGUGUGUGUGUGUCUGUCCAGGCUGUCUGAUCUUGGCAGUUCUUUCCUGCCCAAGCAUUCUAACUGCGAGUCAGUGAUGACUAGGCCUUGACAGCGUCCUCUUGGCUUCCUCUGCGUCAUCGUAGAAGCCAUUCUAAUGCCGGCUUUUCCCCUGGUGGAGCUAGGCCGGGUCUCUAGGGGACACAGCCAUUUGAAACUCCCUGCGGUUUGAAUGGGCUGGCCCAGCUGGCAGAGGCCAGCAGCUGUGUUGCCUUUGGUUGCAUGGCAACACAGCACCCCACCCAUCUUCUGUUCUCUGAGCAGAGGCUCAACGCUACACUGCAGGAGCUCUGUCUGCCCUUGCUGUCUCACAAGGACCGGAAGAGGAUGAAACACCAGUCAGUGCCGGGGGAGUUGCGACGGAAAAAAUUUUUUCCAUCUUGGUCAAGUCGCCAUCGGGAAAUCAUUCAGACUCAAUAUUGAGACUGAUACAGGGCGGUGAGUGGUGUUUCUCGAGCAGGCUUUUCUGCUUGCCGAGCAAUGCCCGCCCUUUGAGAACAAUCAGCAUCAUUUAACCUGGCAGGGUUGACAGAGCUUGGGGCAGGCCUUUGAUAAGUCUCAUCUGCUUCUGAAACUCGGUGGUUUCAUACAGGAACACUGCAAAAAGAGACUAGAAACAGGAAGUGAAAAAAAAACCCAUUUCUAACUAAUGGAAACUACCUUUUGCUCACCUGCACCUGCAUUCCUGCUAAACAUCAUUUAAAUUAGUGCAGAGGUCUACCCUUCUAGGUACUAUCCCCAGAUGGUAUGUAAUCUACAGGGGCUUUGCCACUGAUCUCGCAUUGCCUGUCGCCAUAACAAAAUCUCUUAGUCUCCUUCACGUUCCUCAGAAAAGAAACAGCUUGCUCAUGGUGGGGAGGAAUUAAAUUUGGAGUCAGGGCAUAGUUCUCUCUCUCUCUCUCUCUCUCUCUCUCUCUCUCUCUCUCUCUCUCUCUCUCUCUCUCUCUCUUUCUUUUUUUAUGACAGGGGUCCCCAUUACCUAGCCUGGAACUCAGCCACGCAGCUGAGGAUGACCCUGAACUUGUGUGUUCCUCCUGUCUUCCCUUCCUAAGUGCUGAGAUCACAAAGGUGUGUCCUUGUGCCACCAUGCCCGGCUCAGAAGUUCUUUCAGUGUAAUUUUUGAAUAGCUCCUGAAUAGUAAGGAACAGAGAAGGAGCUGUCUUUGGUCAACGAGAGAACAGAGACGAGAGGAGUAAGAUGAGGACAGCUGGAAGGUGUACGUCAGAGUGCGUCAGAGGGAGCAGCCGGCCAGCCAGGCUCAGAACUCCCUUUCCCUCCAGUCCUUGGCUUCACAGACCUGGCCACCAUUAGCAUAAACUUUCUCACUAAGGUGGGGGAGGGUGGCUGAGGCUCUUGAUGGCACUGUGCCCAGAAUAGAAAAUGUGGUUGUUGGCAACUAUAUCAAAGGCCACGUCUCUGCUCCUUUAGAAACCUUUCCACCUCUGAUUAUCAGACCCCAGAACCAGCACGCCCACGGCCCACGGAAACUUUGGAACAAUAGGCCUUGCCCUGCCUGUCGUGUGUGUGUGUGUGUGUGUGUGUGUGUGUGUGUGUGUGUGUGUGUGUGUGUGAUUUAUUUAUUUAUUUAUUUAUUUAUUUAUUUAUUUAUUUAUUUAUUUAUUUUCUAAAGACAGGAUCUGACUGUUCUUUUAACAUAUGUGAGUUCAAAUCCCAGCACCCACAUGAUGGCUAAAGGGCAUCUGUAACUCCAGUUUGAGGGGAUCUGACACCCUCUUCUGGCCUCCUCUGCUAAUGGACAAAUGUGGCUCAGACAUAAGAGCUUGCAAAAACACUCACCCACAUAAAACAAAAAUAAAUAAGUCUUCGGAAAAAUGUUUUUAUUCGUUUAUGUGUAUGAGUGUUUUGCUCACUUGCAUGACUGUGCACCACAUGUAUUGCCAGAUGCCAGGGAAGGUCAGAUGAGGGCAUAGGAGUCCCUGGUACUGAAUUUACAGAUGGCUGUGAGUGCCACCAUGUGGAUGCUGAGAACGGAGCCCACGCCUCUACAGGAGCAGCCAGCACUCUAAAGCCUAAGCGACCUCUGCAGGUCUCCACUAUUAGCUGCUUCCAGAAAGUAUCCCAAGCCAGGAGGGUGGUGGACAUGCGUAGUCUCAGCUACCAGGGAGGCUGGAACAGGAGAGAGGCUCAGGGUAAGGAGUUUGGGUUGAUGUGGGGACUACAGCAAGACUCUGCACAAAACGAUGCAAAUGAAUUAUCUCUUGGUUCUGGAGGCUGAGUCUGAAAAUCAAAGUUCCAGCAGGGUUGAAGGAAAACAUGCUUCAGGGUUCUCUUCUAGUUUAUGUACUCCUUGGAAUAUAGAUGGCUAUGUGUGUGCGUUCAUAUCUUUCCCACAAAUGUAUAUCCUUAUGUUGAAGGGUCCCCCUCCUAUGAGAUCUGUAGACAAAUUGAAUUGGCAUCGCUUAUCUUGGUAAAAACACUAUUUUCAAAUGUUGUCUAGGGAGCUAGUGUUUCAACAAAUGUACAACCCAUGAAAGCAGCCUAAACACAGGUACGUAGCCUUCUCUCAUUCCUAGGAGUCUGGGUUGUAGGUGGACCCCCCCCCACCCCCCGUGAUGCCUCAAGUGCAGAGGGCUGGAGCUUGCAGGGAAAUUGUGGGGCAAUACCCAACAGGGCCAGUAGUAACAGAAUUUCCUGGGCUACAAGCAGAAUAGUGGCCACUAAAAUCCAGACUCAGUUCUUUAAGAACUGGAAUUCAGCAGGUGAGAGAAGACUUUAACUAGGCAUUAGAACACACACGGCAGUGAUAUGUAUAAUAUAUAUAUACAUAUAUAUUAUAUAUUAUAUAUUAUAUCUAUAUAAGAGAGAGACUUAAGUUAUAUGCAAGAGUGCUUUCUCGUAGGGACAUUUGUGGAGAUUUGCUCUGAGCGGUUCUUCUGAGGGGAUGGGAAAGGCUGAAAGCCAAGGAGGUCACCCAGAGAAGCCUGGACCUCUUGCGUGUUUAGGAGAUGGGUAGAAGCAGCUAGGGUGAGAAACAACUGGGAGUGCAGGAAAAAGGCUGAUUGUGACAAAACUUAAAAAAUAGGUAAUGUGGGCUGAAGAGAUGGCUCAGUAGUUAAGAGCACUGACUGCUCUUCCAGAGGAAGAUUCCCAGCAGCUACAUGGUGGCUCACAACCAUCUAUAAUGGGAAUCUAAUGCCCUCUUCUGGUGUGUCUGAAGACAGCUACAGUGUAGUCAUAUACAUACAUACAUACAUAAUUAAUUAAUUAAUUAAAAAUUUAAAAUGUUAUUUAUGUAUGUGUGAGUGUGUGUUCACAUGUAUGUGAAUGCAAGUAUGUGCACUUGUGUAGGUCAGAGGACAGUAUUUUGGGAGUCAGUUCUCUUUUUCCACGUUUCUUUUAAACUUAAUAUAUUUAGAUUUUUUUUGAGAUGAAAGUAUAAUUAUAUCAUUUCCUCUCCCCUUUCUCCCUCCCAACACCCCCAUGUCAUGUGUACCCCCCGUCUCUUUCACAUCCAUGGCCUUUUCCUUAAUUGUUGCCCUACAUACAUAAAUACGACCUGCUCAGUCUGUGCGACAUCACUUUCAGGACUGGCCACUUGGUAUUGGAUGACCCACUGCUGUGCUCGUCCUUAGGGACCUGUAUUCCUUCUACUCUCAGGAUUCCUAAUUUGUCUACAGUUCUUUGUUUAGGGUUGAGGCUCUUGUCAGAUUUUCCCCUUCCGUGUUAGCUGGCUGUUGGUGUGCUUAUUCAAGUCUUGCUUGGGAAGCCAUAUUGAAACCACAAGGGUGUAGCUUCCCUGACGUUUCUAGGAGAUCCGGUCUCACAGCCGACUUCCUGUUCUUCUGGUUUUCACAUUCUUUCUGUCUCCUCUUCCAAGAAGUUCCCUGAGCCUUACGUGCAGGAGUUGUUUCGUAGAUGUAUGGGUUGGGUCUGGGCACCACACAGUGGUGACUUUUGAUCAGUUGUGUUUUUCUGUAAUGGUCUCUGUCACAUAGAGAAGAGGGUCAGAGCUAUACUUGUCUGGGUGUUGGGUAAGUAAAGGAUAUGAAGUAUAAGGAUAUAAGAUAUAAAGAUAAAUAUUUAGAGUGCAGUUAGGGGUCAUGCUGUCUUAGUAAAGUAGCAGUUGCAGGUUGUCCUUCAUGACCUUACUAACCUGGGGUAGUUAACUAGGUUACUAGUACCAGGCAUGCUUUCUCUCGUCGAACAGGUCUUAAGUCUAGUUAGAGAGCUAUUGGGCUACCUUCAGGAUAUUCUGCCACUGGUGCGCCCAUAGGGCUAUUGUAUGGUUCUUCUGGUCAUCGUUGUUGUUCUCGGACAUCAUAGCUGGGUAGGACUGCUGCUUGCUUUCCUCCCUUGGAAGCUUGCACAGCAUUUUUUGUUACCAUGGAAGCUAGGCCUCAGGGAGGAGGCUUUCAGGUCAGAUCCAGCUCAGGGCCUCCUAGAUCCUGUGUCUGAAGUCAUCGUGCUUUCAGCUCUAUGCUUGUAUGGCUUCCAACCUCUGAGAAGCAACCCAGAGUGACAACGAGUUUACUCUGGGAGUCUCAGGCACCCUACCCGGCAGCUAAAAAUGGGCUUCUUGUGCCUGGAGUUGGAGUUUGUUAGGUAAUAUAUGACUCUUGGGGAAAGCACUGUCAGUCCAGGUGUGGAAUUUUUAAACUGUGUGUGUGUACAAUAUUUAAUUCAAGUAGAUAGAUAAUAACAACUGCUGUGACUUUUUUAUAUGUUCCAUCUAUUUACCUACACAUUUCAUAGUUUCAUUUUUAUAACAGCUGACUAGUAUUCCAUAGUGUACACGUGCCACAUCCCACUACCAUUUAUCAGUUGACAGAUGCUCGGGUUGUUCCCACUCCUUAACUAUUGUGGAAAGAGAGCAGUUACUUUUCUUCUCUGCGAAGAAUGACAUGGGAGUUUUGACUGGGAUUGCAUUGAAUCUGUAAACGGCUCUUGGCAGAAUGGUCAUUUUCACAGUUUACAACUACACAUGUCUUCCCAUCUUUUAGAUUCUCUCUGUAUCUCUCUGUUCAGAGAUGUAAAAGUUUUAUUCUAGAGGUCCUUCACUUUCUCGGUUAGGUUUACUCCUACAUAUUUCAUUUAGGCUAUUGUGAAUAGGAGUGUGUCCAUCUCUCUCUCUCUCUCUCUCUUUCUCUCUCUCUCUCUCUCUCUCUCUCUCUCUCUCUCUCUCUCUCUCUCUCUCUCUCUGUGUGUGUUGUUGUUGUUGUUGUAUGAAAAAGUUAGUGUGGCUGAAGAAAAGGCCCAAUGGUUAGAGCACUGGCUGCUCUUCCAGAGGUCCUGAGUUCAAUUCCCAUCAUGACCAUCUAUAAAGGGAUCUGAUGCCCUCUUCUGUCAUGCAGGUGUACAUGCAGCAGAGCACUCAUGCAUAAAAUAAAUAACAUAAUCAAUAAAUAAAAAAAGUAAAAACAAAAUUUUAAAAAGCUAUUGGUUUUCGUUAGCUGGUUCUGUUUCCUGUCACUUUGCUGAAGUUAUUGAUCAUUCCUAUAAGAUCUCUGGUACAGUUUGGGUCUCUUCUGUUUAAUAUCCUCUACAAGCAGGGAUAGUUUGGCUUCUUUUCCUAUUUGUUUCCUUUCAACUUCCUUCUCUUUCUUUGGUUGCUGCGGCUGGCACUUGGAGCAGAGUGUUGAAAGGAGGAUAGAGCUCAAUCAGCCCUGUCUCCGUCCUGAUUUCAGUGGGAUUGUUUCAAGUUUUCCUCUGUUUAGGAUGAUAGAGGCUACAGGUUUCUCAGAUACAUCUGUUAUAAUACCGAGGUAUGUUCUUGUAUCUCAGAGACAGAACUAACUUGUUGAUGGUGGCUAAUCUUUUGGACGUAUGUCAGUGUUUGACUUGUGAAUACUUUAUUGAGAAUUUUGAGCCUCUGUUGAUCACGGAUCUAUGACUGUACUUUUCCCUCUUGUGUUGUCUUUGCCUGGUUUGGGUACUGGAGCGAUGAUGACUUACAGAAGGAGCUUGGCAAUGCUCUUUUCUGUUUCUUUGUUUCUUCUUCUUUUAAAAAAUAAAUAAGAAUGAUUAGCUGUAGAGCCUUGAAAGUCUGGUGGAAUUAUUCUAUGUGUCUAUUUGGGUCUAGACUUUUUUAGGCACGAGACUUUUUACUACUGUUUCGAUCAUGUUUGUUUUGGGUCUGUUUGAGUUAUAGAUUUCUUCUUGGUUUAAUUUUGGUGGUUUGGAUGAAUCUAGAAAUUUGUCCAUUUCUUUUGCACCUACAGACACAAUCAAAAAGAAGCUGUGUGUGUGGACUGGGAGUGUAGCUCAGUUGGUAGAGAAAAUUUAAUCCACAUUAACACACACACUGGGCAUAGUGGCACACACCUGUAGCAGUCAUGAAGUGAGGCAGGAGGUUCACCAGCUUUCUGUCCUCCACGUCAGAGUAAGUUUGAGGCUAGUCUGAGCUAUACAAGAUCCCGUCUGAAACAAGACAAAACAAAGCAAAACAAAAUAAAAACCAAACUGAGGAAGAGCAGCAGCGGCUGUGCCCUCAGACUCCCUUGACAUUGGCAUGCAAUGUCAGACAGAGCAAUUAGAGUCCUUGUGUUCAGCCUACUUGGCUCAAGUUUUCUUCCUCUGAAAGAUCUGAGGUAUGACUAUGUUUCUUUAUAUAUACUCUUCAUCUCCCAUGUGCAAAGGUCUGGAGUGGGCUUGCACUAGCAUGUGUGGUAUAUGUGCACUUGUACAUAUGUAUGUGUGCAUGUUUGGUAUAUGUGCACCUGUAAAUAUGUAUGGUGCAUGUGUGGUGUAUGUGCACUUGUAUAUAUGUAUGUGUGCACGUGUGGUGUAUGUGCACUUGUACAUAUGUUCAUCUUAUCAUUUCUUCUUUACCCUUGUCUUACCCUCUCAUUGCAGAGGUGUUUCAACUCCCUCAUAGCUAGUUCCAGGGCCCCUACUCUAAUCUGGCAGGGAAUUCCAGUGUGUGUGUGUGUGUGUGUGUGUGUGUGUGUGUGUGUGUGUGUUGUGCCUGUGUGGACAGUGUAACAAGGAAACUGAGCUCCACUGUACAAGACUGCAUGCUGCAAAUACACUCCAGACGGAGCCAGCUGUUUUGCCUUGGCUGUGGUCUGCUUCCUUCCAGAGGUAAGAGGAGGAAGAGCUAGUAAGAUAAGACACAGCCCUGUGACAUAUUUAUGGAUGGAACACACACAAUGAAGCAACUGAAAGUCCUCCAGGUUGAGCCUAGAAAAACUUACAUAGCAACGCAGAACGGCCCAUGUGGACUGAGUCUGUAGGUUGGUGGGUGGGAUGAAGGGUUAAGGACUUUUAAAUAGGCUGGGAUAUUCCCUCCUCUAGCUCCUGCUUGAUACUCCAAAGGGAAUUUCAGUUUUCUCACAAGCACAAAGAUGGGGAACUGAUUUAAACUAUUAUCUUUUAUGCAUACAAUGAAAUACACCUUAGCCACUUAGAAUGAUUCAGGGAAGUACAUUUCUUGAUAAAGAAAAAGAUGUUUCUGCUCUAUUGUUGAAAAUAUCUGGCUUUUUGUUCAUAAAAAAAGUGUGCAUGCUAAAUGCUGAAAGUAAUUUUAUGCCUGUGUUGCAUAUAUGUAUUACAUUAUGUAAUCCUAUUAUAAUAUAUAUUAUGUAUAUGUAUUAGAGUUAAUGUGACUUCUGAUUUUUUAAUAAAAAUAAAAAAAUAUUCUAUCUUGUGCCAUCUUAAAAAAAUAAAACCAUGUAACAAAACCACAUAACCCUUAGGGGUAUUUCUCAUAUUUAAUUGGAGAGUGGAAUUAGAUGAAGACUAUUCUUUUUUUUUUUUUCCUGAAGAAUUAUUUUUCUUUAUAUGAAUACACUGCCACUGUCUUCAGACACACCAGAAGAGGGCAUCAGAUCUCAUUACAGAUAUUGUGAGCUACCAAUUGGUUGCUGGGAACUGAACUCAGGACCUCUGGAAGAGAAGUCAGUGACCCUAACCUCUGAGCCAUCUCUCCAGACCAAUGAAGACUAUCCUUGACAGUGAGCCUGGAUUCCUCCACUCCUACCCUCCCUGGAGUACUUUCCAUCUCAAAGCUCCCGUCAGUGGGUCACCCCCAUAGAGCCUCACAGGGAAGGGUGGGGGAGCUGUGCUAAGAACUGCAGUCUUCAUUAGGAAAGGGGCAGGCUGAGUGACUGGUUUUGCAGUUCGAGCUGAAGCAUCCUGGAGGAGGCGGGGCCUGGCCUGCCUUCUUUUUUCACCUUGUCUGUUUUCAAGCCGCCCAUGCUCCUCUCAUGAAUGGGUAUCUUCUGCCUCAGUCCUGUGACUUCGCUUUCCCAGUAUUGUUGUGCUGGGCCAGCAGGACUGGUUUUUAGGACUAUGGAGACUUUAGGUCACAAAGGGGUUAAGCACCAUGGGAAAGACAAAGGCAAAGUUAGAAGGUCACCAGAACCAAACAAAAAUAAAUAAAAAUUAAGAGAUUAGGGCAAGGGUCAAAAGACAUGGCCUUGCUGAAUGUCUACAUUCUGAACUGGGGGUCAGACAGGUGCCUGGCAAAUUUCUGGUUAAAACCUUCAAAGCCUAUGGUGGCAGGGAGAGCCCAGGUGCUCCUCUAAGAGCUCCUGCCUCUGGUUUUGAAAGGUUUGGAAUGUCCAUCAGUUAUAUGACGCAGGGGACUCGGGGAAGGAAGGGUUUCUUUUGGUUUGUAGUUCUAGAGUGCAGUCUGUCAUAUGAAAAAAGUGUGGCAGCCAGGACAGGUCCAUCUGUGGCAACAGGAGCACAAGGUGACCGGUCACGUGUGCAGUCAAGAAACAGGUGAAAGCUGGUUCUCAGGUCACUUUCCCAAGUUCCACCUUUCAUUCGGUCUGUGACAGCAACCCACAGGGUGGUGUCGUCCACAGCAGGGUAUGUUUUUCCUCCUUCUUUAGUCUUCACUAGAAACCCCUUCAUAAACACAGAUGUGUGAUCUUCAAUCCAGUCAAGAUAAUAGUGAAGAUUCACCUCGGAAGUGAUUUAGCCGCCUACGCAGCCCUGACCUCCAAGGCGUUCUGGAGCGCCAGAAGACUCUGGAACCCGUGUGCAGCUGUUUAGUAGCUGUACUGCUUGGUCUUGGUAAGUUCCGUGUCUUCAAGUGGUAGUAGUUGACCCAGAAUUAAAGAGGAGCUCUGAGAACCCCCAGACACCCCAGGACCCUGGGUGGCCUCCUCUUCUAAAGACAAAGGACUUUAUGGGCUAGGGAUGAGACUGGAAAGUGCCGAGCUGCGAUUCAGAACUCUGCCCUUCCAUUGCCCUGUGGCUCUGAGCUAGUUAAUCUCUCUGAGCCCCGGUUUCUUCCUACAUAGAAGGAAAUAUUUACAGUAUUGUUUGGCACGGCUGUGAGGCAAUGCGUCCUAAGGAAUUGAGAGGGCAGUGCUGGGAGCAUGCUAAAUGAGAUUAACUGGAAAAGCUGGUUAGAGCAGACCCAGCGUCCCUCUUUUCAGGUGAAAGGUCAAGGCUGCACAGCAGGUUCCAGAGGACCCAGCAAUUGCUAGAUUGUGAGCCAUUUCUUUCCAGAGAUAGGCUGGGUGAACAGAGAGGUGCCAUUUAGAAGAUCUGAUGUUGUUUAAGUAUUUCAAUAAUUGAAUAUGGGUUCACUCUACCUGAAUAACGAUUACAAUUUAAAUAUCAGUAAAUGGUCAUUAUGAAUUAAUGUAGGUGAAGUUGCCCAGAAACUAGAUUUCCAUCUCAAAGCUUCUGUCAGUGGAUCACCCCCACAGAGUCAAGAGCUUGGGGCGGUGGAGUGGGGGAGGGGUAUGAUAAAAUUAUUUUUUUAUUUUUAUGUCUUAUUUUUAAUUCUUUAUUUUUAUUUCAUGUGCAUUGGUAUUUUGCCUGCAUUUAUGCCUGAGUGUGAAGGUGUCAAAUCUUGGAGUUACAGACAGUUGAGAGUCACCAUGUGGUUGCUGGGAACUGAACUCAGGACCUCUGGAAGAGCAGUCGGUGCUCUUAACUGCUGAGCCAUCUCCUAGCCCGAUUCUUUUUUUUUUUAUUCUUUUUAAAUUAAAGUUUAUUUUUUGUUUGUA